CCCAGUAGUGAGAAUACACCAUGACAUGAUCCCUGCACAAAUCAUUCCCUUUCCCCCAUCCCAAUUACACAAUUAACUCUGCAUUUAAUCAUGCAAGUGUCCGGUGCUCAGGUUUCUUGGGGGACGGGAAGUUCGCGGGACCAGGAAGUGCGUGUGAUGUCAGUGCUUGUUUGUGUGGUGCGACAAUGUAUGGAUUAACGGCGUGAAAUGGGUUAUAGAGCGGAUACAACUGGUACCUAGCUGAUCGCUAUGAUGGUGAAUGGCAAAUGGUUUCAUCAGGUGUGAUGGGGACACAGAAAUGCAGGUUUGACCCAUUAAAAACAGUCCCUCCUUACCAUGAGAUCCGCUGGAAAGUUGCCGGUGAAACUCCUCUACUCAACACGCCUUUGCCUUCUAGUGGUCUUCAUCAUGUCAGAAGAUUACUUUGUGAGAAGGUGACAUCCCCCCUCUUCUCACUGACUCUCAAGAGAAGUUUGGCCCUGGUGUGGGGACUCCCCCGCCGCAAUGGUUGGGUCCGGGCUCCCUCACGAUAGUGGCUGGACCCGGGAGACCUAAUGGGUCCAAUUAAGCUCAACCGGUGCCUCAUUUUCAUGAGAGAGGACUUUAGAGAGAGAUUACCUUGGCAUGAAGGUAAAACCCUUCCCUGCUGUGAGGCGGAGUGUCUGUGUGUCUGUUUGUCUGUGUGUCUGUGUGUCUGUGUGUCUGAGUGUCUGUGUGUCUAGCUGUGUGUCUGUGUGUCUAGCUGUGUGGACACUGUUUCUCUGUGCUUUGUUGGUGUGCCUUGUUUAUUGUGCCUGUUUCUUUGUGCUUGUUUUGUUUGCCUUGUUUUGUACCGCUAGCUAAUGUACUCAGCAUCAUGCUUAGUGCCUGGGCCUAGUUUGGGGCCUGGCUUGUGCCCCGAGAGUGCCAGUAUUGGGCCUACAUGGGCCAAGCAGGUGCCGAGGGUGCCAGGACUUGAGUUACUGUGAGUACUGUUUUGUAUUUUGCUUUGUUUGUUUUAUUUUGUGGGCACCUGUUUAGGGGUUACUGGUGAGAGUCCCC
Long non-coding RNA from Clupea harengus (Atlantic herring), 1041 nucleotides. The record is from Ensembl. NCBI's taxonomy places the organism in Eukaryota, Metazoa, Chordata, Actinopteri, Clupeiformes, Clupeidae.